GGCGAACGCUGGCGGCGUGCCUAAUACAUGCAAGUAGAACGCUGAAGAGAGGAGCUUGCUCUUCUUGGAUGAGUUGCGAACGGGUGAGUAACGCGUAGGUAACCUGCCUUGUAGCGGGGGAUAACUAUUGGAAACGAUAGCUAAUACCGCAUAACAAUGGAUGACUCAUGUCAUUUAUUUGAAAGGGGCAAAUGCUCCACUACAAGAUGGACCUGCGUUGUAUUAGCUAGUAGGUGAGGUAACGGCUCACCUAGGCGACGAUACAUAGCCGACCUGAGAGGGUGAUCGGCCACACUGGGACUGAGACACGGCCCAGACUCCUACGGGAGGCAGCAGUAGGGAAUCUUCGGCAAUGGGGGCAACCCUGACCGAGCAACGCCGCGUGAGUGAAGAAGGUUUUCGGAUCGUAAAGCUCUGUUGUAAGUCAAGAACGAGUGUGAGAGUGGAAAGUUCACACUGUGACGGUAGCUUACCAGAAAGGGACGGCUAACUACGUGCCAGCAGCCGCGGUAAUACGUAGGUCCCGAGCGUUGUCCGGAUUUAUUGGGCGUAAAGCGAGCGCAGGCGGUUUGAUAAGUCUGAAGUUAAAGGCUGUGGCUCAACCAUAGUUCGCUUUGGAAACUGUCAAACUUGAGUGCAGAAGGGGAGAGUGGAAUUCCAUGUGUAGCGGUGAAAUGCGUAGAUAUAUGGAGGAACACCGGUGGCGAAAGCGGCUCUCUGGUCUGUAACUGACGCUGAGGCUCGAAAGCGUGGGGAGCGAACAGG
RNAcentral lists this ribosomal RNA (765 nucleotides) under uncultured Streptococcus sp. Its description in RNAcentral is "bacterial SSU rRNA". It matches the Rfam family "Bacterial small subunit ribosomal RNA", at positions 28 to 776 of the family's 1533-position model. Lineage: Bacteria; Bacillati; Bacillota; Bacilli; Lactobacillales; Streptococcaceae. The record is from RNAcentral.